Molecule: long non-coding RNA, 204 nt
Filed under: Elaeis guineensis (African oil palm)
Lineage: Eukaryota; Viridiplantae; Streptophyta; Magnoliopsida; Arecales; Arecaceae
Description: long non-coding RNA (EGUI_LNC037578)
Source: RNAcentral
CACCAAAUUGCUUUUUAUAGUCUUUGAUCCAUACGAUCUUGUUUGGUUUCCUGCAAACAUAUUAUCGGGUAUCUAGACUUUUCAACCAUUUCUCUAAUGGAUCUUUUCUUCUUGGGUUCCCCGGUUCCUCUGGUAUUCCAGCUUAGAAUCAUUUAUAGCACAAAAUAGAACUUUUUGAAUACACCCAGGAAAGGAUAAGGUAGG